Molecule: long non-coding RNA, 2639 nt
Organism: Oncorhynchus tshawytscha (Chinook salmon)
Lineage: Eukaryota; Metazoa; Chordata; Actinopteri; Salmoniformes; Salmonidae
Source: Ensembl
CAGAACAGACUGGGGGCCACGACAACUGAACGUCAGUGAGGGUCAUAACCAGAACAGACUGGGGGCCACGACAACUGAACGUCAGUGAGGGUCAUAACUAAAAAGGCAUUGUGCCAAAAGAAAGUAAAAGAGACAUCUGGAUAGAUCUGCUAGUUCCAUUUUCAGAUGGAAAAAAUGAAUUCAGGUUCAAUUGAAUAAAGGCGUUAAUUUCAGGGACUUGUCCAAAACUAAAAACAUGAUUUAAAAGUGUUUCACGUUCAUUCUGACAAUAUUUGUGGUUCUGAACGGUUUCCAACAGUCUGACCGACACGUAGCCUGAAAUCCAGUCAUCUUUGUGCUAACAUUCCACUCCUUGCCAAUCCUUGUCAUGCCAAACAGUGGCAAGGAGUGGAAUGUUAAGACAUCCUGGAUUCCAGGCUACCCAUCAGGCAGGCUGACAGAACAGUGAGGGUGUAUCUUAGCAACGAGGGAACAUGAACUGAAUUAUACCAUUUUAUUACUAAAAACAAAAGGCUUCAUCAUGUUUCAUCUGAAAACAGGCUUUACAUGAGCCUACCCACACGUUAGAAAAAUAGAGUUGCAGUUAGGAAUAUGAUGUAUAUCAUAGCAAAAAUAUACGUGGACCUUUCUCUGUGUGGGGAGGCAGGUAGCCUAGUGGUUAGAGUGGAGAGGCGGCAGGGUAGCCUAGUGGUUAGAGUGGAGGGGCGGCAGGGUAGCCUAGUGGUUAGAGUGGAGGGGCGGCAGGGUAGCCUAGUGGUUAGAGUGGAGGGGCGGCAGGGUAGCCUAGUGGUUAGAGUGGAGGGGCGGCAGGGUAGCCUAGUGGUUAGAGGGGAGGGGCGGCAGGGUAGCCUAGUGGUUAGAGAGGAGGGGCGGCAGGGUAGCCUAGUGGUUAGAGAGGAGGGGCGGCAGGGUAGCCUAGUGGUUAGAGAGGGGCGGCAGGGUAGCCUAGUGGUUAGAGCGUUGAGCUAGUCACCGAAAGGUUACAAGUUCAAAUCCCUGAGCUGACAAGGUACAAAUCUGUUGUUCUGCCCCUGAACAAGGCAGUUAACCCACUGUUCCCCAGUAGGCCGUCAUUGAAAAUAAGAAUUUGUUCUUAACUGACCUUGUUAAACAAAGGUAAUAAAAAAAAAAUGGGUCCUACUUCUCAGGGCUCAGUCCUACUUCUCAGGGCUCAGUCCUACUUCUCAGGGCUCAGUCCUACUUCUCAGGGCUCAGUCCUACUUCUCAGGGCUCAGUCCUACUUCUCAGGGCUCAGUCCUACUUCUCAGGGCUCAGUCCUACUUCUCAGGGCUCAGUCCUACUUCUCAGGGCUCAGGGGUCAGUCCUACUUCUCAGGGCUCAGGGGUCAGUCCUAGUUCUCAGGGUCAACAUACUGCCAUCUAACAGGCUCUGUCCAACACACAGAGGAGGUUCAACAUACUGCCAUCUAUCCUGACAGGCUCUAUCCAACACACAACAUACUGCCAUCUAUCCUGACAGGAUCUAUCCAACACACAACAUACUGCCAUCUAUCCUGACAGGAUCUGUCCAACACACAACAUACUGCCAUCUAUCCUGACAGGCUCUGUCCAACACACAACAUACUGCCAUCUAUCCUGACAGGCUCUGCCCAACACACAACAUACUGCCAUCUAUCCAACACACAACAUACUACCAUCUAUCCAACACACAACAUACUGCCAUCUAUCCUGACAGGCUCUGUCCAACACACCACAUACUACCAUCUGUCCAACACACAACAUACUGCCAUCUAUCCUGACAGGCUCUGUCCAACACACAACAUACUGCCAUCUAUCCAACACACAACAUACUGCCAUCUAUCCUGACAGGAUCUGUCCAACACACAACAUACUGCCAUCUAUCCUGACAGGAUCUGUCCAACACACAACAUACUGACAUCUAUCCUGACAGGAUCUGUCCAACACACAACAUACUGACAUCUAUCCUGACAGGAUCUGUCCAACACACAGAGUGGUGUUGUUUUUCUACUGCUUAUGAAGCUGCUGGUGACUGGUUGUAUUCUUGGAUUCUACAUGAAAUGCUUCACUUAGGCUAGACUGGUCUAUGUUAGAGCAGAAACUGUGUGGCAGUGUUUACUAGGGUCUUCCCAGACAUACUGUAGUAGAUUCCUUUUGUGGUCCACAUUCAGGAUUAAACAGAAGUCUAAACAAACGGAUGGAUCUGGCUUAAGACGGCACUACGCUAGUUUUCUGAGACACACAAUUAUUCAAGGACGUUACCAGCACAAAGAACAACUAUAAAACAAACGGUUUGUAGUUCCAUCUGUACAAGAGACAGAAACACUGAAGUUAAAUUAUUCCUCUCAUUUAGCUCUCCCUCAACAUACUGUUCCACUGUCUGUUCCAUCAACCAGAGUUCAAUAACAGAACUAUUCUCUGGACCGGGACACAGAACCACCGUCUGUUCCAUCAACCAGAGUUCAAUAACAGAACUAUUCUCUGGACCGGGACACAGAACCACUGUCUGUUCCAUCAACCAGAGUUCAAUAACAGAACUAUACUCUGGACCGGGACACAGAACCACCGUCUGUUCCAUCAACCAGAGUUCAAUAACAGAACUAUUCUCUGGACACAGAACCACCGUCUGUUCCAUCAACCAGAGUUCAAUAACAGAACCAC